RNAcentral lists this unclassified non-coding RNA (334 nucleotides) under soil metagenome. Its description in RNAcentral is "partial contains 5.8S ribosomal RNA, internal transcribed spacer 2, and large subunit ribosomal RNA". The stretch from base 1 to 120 matches the Rfam family "5.8S ribosomal RNA", at positions 35 to 154 of the family's 154-position model. The record is from RNAcentral.
GAUGAAGAACGCAGCGAAAUGCGAUAAGUAGUGUGAAUUGCAGAAUUCAGUGAAUCAUCGAAUCUUUGAACGCACAUUGCGCCCCUUGGUAUUCCAUGGGGCAUGCCUGUUCGAGCGUCAUUUGUACCUUCAAGCUUUGCUUGGUGUUGGGUGUUUGUCUCGCCUUUGCGUGUAGACUCCUUAAAAUAAUUGGCAGCCGGCGUAUUGAUUUCGGAGCGCAGUACAUCUCGCGCUUUGCACUCAUAACGACAGCGUCCAAAAGUACAUUUUACACUCUUGACCUCGGAUCAGGUAGGGAUACCCGCUGAACUUAAGCAUAUCAAUAAGCGGAGGA